RNAcentral lists this ribosomal RNA (449 nucleotides) under uncultured Verrucomicrobiota bacterium. RNAcentral describes it as "bacterial SSU rRNA". It matches the Rfam family "Bacterial small subunit ribosomal RNA", at positions 85 to 521 of the family's 1533-position model. The record is from RNAcentral. Lineage: Bacteria; Pseudomonadati; Verrucomicrobiota.
AAAGAGUCUUUUGGCGAACGGGUGCGUAACACGUGGGCAAUCUGCCUUAAAGUGGGGGAUAGCUCGGCGAAAGCCGAAUUAAUACCGCAUGUGAUCAGGGGAGACAUCUUCCCGAAAUCAAAAGUGGCGCAAGCUACUGCUUUUUGAGGAGCCCGCGGCCUAUCAGCUAGUUGGUGAGGUAAUGGCUCACCAAGGCUUUGACGGGUAGCUGGUCUGAGAGGACGACCAGUCACACUGGAACUGAGACACGGUCCAGACACCUACGGGUGGCAGCAGUCGAGAAUUUUUCUCAAUGGGGGCAACCCUGAAGGAGCGACGCCGCGUGGAGGAUGAAGGUCUUCGGGUUGUAAACUCCUGUCAUUUGGGAACAAGUGUCGGUACGUAACUGCUACCGGCUUGAUAGUACCAGAAGAGGAAGAGACGGCUAACUCUGUGCCAGCAGCCGCGGU